AGGAUAGGUGGUGACGUAGUUAUGUUAGAAGGAUUGCGUCAGCGCAGGACCAAAUAUAAUUUGAAGCAAUACAAAAAAAAUCCCUUUGGAAUAUACGAUUGAUUAUUGGCAGGUCGCAAAUCUAGGAACAGCUAAAUCAACAAGAAAGUUUAUGAAAUAUCCUCAGAAUAGCACUGCUCAGCAAACCGCAAAGGCGCAAACUGAGCUUUAAGCUAGCUAUGUGCUAGAAUGCAGCAAGAUAUUGAGUCUGGCACAUACCUUGUGGUGCUUCGUCGCCAAAAGUUUUGUAUGCAGUUGUUUCUUUGGCUUCGACCACAUCAAUAUCUACUACCAGCGACGCAUCGACUUCACCACCUCCAUUAAGGAACUACUUAGUAUUGCGUGGAACUGGUUAAAUUCUGAAGCCCUUUGCCCUCAGUUCACUAAUGAGGGUCCUGUAGAUGCCUGCAUCAUAUCAUACAGUGAUGAUUUAAUCUUUCGAUUUAAGACCGUCAGAUCAAAUUGUAAGGUAGGCAGUUUGUUACCGGUCUGAUACCACAGUGAAUGUUUUCCUUCACUUUCCCUGUACCAUGGUGCCAUGAUCAGUAAAUUUUCUCCAGGAACCUUUGAGCGCUGCACCUACAACAUAACAAAUAUUGGGUCUGCCAAUGGAUUGAAGAGAAUCAAAUGGUAGCGAUGGCACUUUUUAUUGGCAGACGCCAUGAUCUCCAUCGUGUGCCUGGUUUGGUAUUAUGACUACGCUUUGCUUUGUGCAGCUUUAUAUUUUAGAUAAGUAUUGUCUAUAUGUUUACAAGAAGUUUUUAAAAUUAUAGCAGAGUCAGUUGCCCAAAUUGCAUUAUGAACCUAAUCUUAUUUUUACUCCUCCAGGUUACAUGAAGUUCAUGUUGAUGAUCUACCAUGACCAUCCACGUUCGUUGACAUCCUAGCAGCAAAAGAUAAUCAUAGGAAGACUAGGUGCCAUUAUUUACCCAAAUUGCAUGAAAAAAUGGUCUGGCUUCAUAUGUUGCUAACUUAGCCAUGACAAGGCAUCUCAUUUGAUCUUUAUAAAACUUAUCUUUGCAACACUAAGCUAAAACCUAACCUGCUAUCUACUUCAGCAUGUAUUUCACCGAGUUCAUGGUGUAAUGAAUUAGAAAAAAGUGAUAUGGACAAAACAGUUUGCUUAAUCCUCCUCAGAUUUUUUUAUAGCAGUACCUUCUGCUGCUCCUGCUGUAUUUACACAAUUUGUGCUCUCAUAGUGUUCUGAAAAUUCAGUGCCUAAGAUAAGUACUUAGUUCAAAGUCUCCAACCAUUUUCAACAUAGGAAAGAAUCUCUAGGUACAGUUAAUACUUGGAAUUAUUAAUUUUUAUGUUACACAUAAUGCACUAAUAAGGGGAUAUCU
This is a long non-coding RNA of Lolium rigidum, 1382 nucleotides long. RefSeq lists it as uncharacterized. The record is from RefSeq and is a predicted model, not a curated record. NCBI's taxonomy places the organism in Eukaryota, Viridiplantae, Streptophyta, Magnoliopsida, Poales, Poaceae. The transcript is spliced from 4 exons.